AAAAAAUCCCACCGCUAGAAUUUUUUUUUUUUAAAGAAAAUUUAAAGGCCGAAUAGGUCGCAGUCUUCAAUCAAAGACUAGAAAAUUUUGUUUCUUCUUCUCUUUCGCAGAAAGUUUCAGGCUGCUAUUGCUUUCAAACAGAAGUUUGAGGUCUGCAUAAAGGAUUCUAAAUCUACUGGUAGCUGUUCGGAAGAUUGGGCAGAACGAGCAGCCAAUCUCUUUCUGAAUCAGUAGUGGAACAACAGAUGCUACGCUCGUAGCAUGGAAUCACACCAGUUUUUCAGAUACGGUGUCACUGG
Molecule: unclassified non-coding RNA, 299 nt
Filed under: Hevea brasiliensis (rubber tree)
Lineage: Eukaryota; Viridiplantae; Streptophyta; Magnoliopsida; Malpighiales; Euphorbiaceae
Source: RNAcentral